Long non-coding RNA from Homo sapiens (human), 1553 nucleotides. Ensembl annotates it as long intergenic non-protein coding RNA 635. The record is from Ensembl. NCBI's taxonomy places the organism in Eukaryota, Metazoa, Chordata, Mammalia, Primates, Hominidae.
AGCAUAGCAACAGCAGCGUAGCUGAACAUCUUACGGAUGGCCCAGGGCUCCAAAGGCUCGUUUCCUAAGUGAGAGAGAGCCUGGCUGAAGCUGUAUUACCAUUCAUUCUCCAGCCUCCGAAGUCUCAAAGCAUCACUUCCACCAUACUCUAACUGUCAAGACAAACACAAAGGCCCAGAGAAGGGGUCUCACUAUGUUGUCUGGAGUGCUGUGGUGGAGUGGAGUGGCUAUUCACAGAGCCUGUUCUGCUGGGACACAGAAUCACUUGCUCCAUCUCAUACAUUGAUGAUGAUUAAUUUGUAUGUGUACCUUCCAAAAAAGAUGGUUGUGUUUGAAUGGAGGCCUUCUGGACAGGAAAAUUGCAAAGUACAAUUAACAUUUGAGUCUGUCUGAGUCAUGAAGAAAUGGAGAUUACUGAAAAUAAUUCAUUUUGGUAUCUUCUUACAUCCUGAGAGACUAAUCUUUCCAAGUUCAUCUGAGGCUCCUCUUCUCCAUGACAACCUCAUCCAGGGAUUUCUUCCUGUCCUGGUGUUUUAUGACAUCAUCCUCAUCUCGCUUGUAAGGAUAAUAGCCUUCCUCCAAACCUCACACACUUUUGGAGGAGAUCACUUUUUUUAAAGUGCAUGGAAAUGUUUUGAAACAGUGAAAUCUAUAAUGAUAGGUUUCAUAAUUCUAACAUCCACACCAUAUGAAUCACAUCCUUCCUGAGAUAAUGAGCACACAAUUGCCUGGAUACCUGAAGGAAUGGAGACAGCGGCAGAAAACACUGCAGAGAGGUGGAAACAUCCGUUAAUAUUUUAAAAUCCCAUUACUGCUACCAACAAUAAUAAUGGAUGCAUAGAAAUAGAUCUGGAUUAGCUGAGCUUGAAACAGUCCAUCUCACACACACACAAAAGAAUUUCAGAUACAGUGAACCCACAUGUUGAAGCUUUCUAGUAUAAUAAAAAUUUCAACUGUUCUGUUGAAUCAUCUGCCUGAUUGGAGGCUACAGAAAAGAUGUCAUCUUAGGAGUGCUUGCUCUGAGUGAGGCUCAUCUUCAAAUCUGAAUGACCACAAGGAGAUUUGAUUAUACAUGUGAACACCUCAGAAGGCACAGCCCACCCAGAAGGCAGACAGGUCAGGCUGCUUUUUCUUCAUUGCUUGGAUUCAAUCCUCCGGGCGGCUCAGGCUCAAACAUAACUUAAGCAUGAUUAAACUUUAGAAGAAGCUGCCAGGAAGACUGUGAAAUCUUCAUGCCCAAGGAUCCCUAAAAUUAGGAGCAACAACCACUUGGCUCAGACGGUUUAUGGAGGCAAAGGUUUGGAUGGGAUUAGAGAUUUCUAAAUGUGAGUUCGUGUCCUCUGCCAGACCACCUUACUUCCACCAUUCCUCAGCAAAUCAAGAAAAACAGGAGAAAAGACAUGCCUUUCCAUAAGUUAAAUCUAUUCUGUUUUAAUUCUAUAUUAUAUCUGCUGUACAACUUCUUUUGUUUGUAACACCAUAUUGUUGCUAGUAACUGGAAAUUAAUUUUCACAUGCCUCAGCUUAGAAAAAUAAAAAGCAGCCCUGCAUCAA